Molecule: ribosomal RNA, 301 nt
Filed under: uncultured bacterium
Lineage: Bacteria
Description: partial 16S ribosomal RNA
Rfam family: Bacterial small subunit ribosomal RNA
Source: RNAcentral
CAGUAGCCACGGUAAUACAGAGGGUGCGAGCGUUAAUCGGAUUUACUGGGCGUAAAGCGUGCGUAGGCGGCUAAUUGAGUCGGAUGUGAAAUCCCCGAGCUUAACUUGGGAAUUGCAUUCGAUACUGGUUAGCUAGAGUGUGGGAGAGGAUGGUAGAAUUCCAGGUGUAGCGGUGAAAUGCGUAGAGAUCUGGAGGAAUACCGAUGGCGAAGGCAGCCAUCUGGCCUAACACUGACGCUGAGGUACGAAAGCAUGGGGAGCAAACAGGAUUAGAUACCCCUGUAGUCCCUGUCUCUUAUAC